RNAcentral lists this long non-coding RNA (707 nucleotides) under Helianthus annuus (common sunflower). RNAcentral describes it as "hypothetical non coding rna". Lineage: Eukaryota; Viridiplantae; Streptophyta; Magnoliopsida; Asterales; Asteraceae. The record is from RNAcentral.
GUGUUUGUGCAUGCUUUGUCGAUAUUCAUAAAGGCUACGCACAUAUUUACAAGUGGAACGUAUUAUGACAUCAUCAAAGUACUUGAACCUAACACAUCCUCCUUCUAAGUUGUUUAUAGGUUUUGUCUUUGUCAAUAGAUCAUCAUCCCAUUGGUAAGAUAGACACCCUAUUAAGCUUACUAUUUGAAAGACACCUAUUAAGCUUACUAUUUGAAUUUUUUUGGAUAUAAAUGUAAUAAUUACAAUUACAAUAUAAUCAUAUUCUUUAUAAUUUUUUUUUAAAUCAAUAAUUUCAUUCGAAUCAUCAGGGCAAAUUACAUAAGGAUAGCAGGUAGACGAGCAACAAACUGCGCCGCCAUCCCUUUUUGAACAGAAAACCCUAAUCUACUAAAAACAAAGCCUCGCCCCUGAGGGGUCGAAAAGUUGCUAUGGACCACACGCUGAACUCUAGACAAGAAUCGAACUGCCUCCGGCGCCAAGAAGCCGAACGUGUCAAACGCCAGGGGGACAAAGGCAUGUCUUAGUAGAAUUACAAUAUAAUUAUAUUCUUUAUAAUGUCUUAGAAAUGUUACGAUUGACUUUUAGAACUUAAGGUAAUUUUUUAACUUUAGAAAGUUUGUAAGAGUCGGAGAUGAUUGUGGGUAAUUUGGGUUAAAGGGGUCAACAACAACCCAAUAUGUAAUUUUAAAAGAAUUGUUGCAAGACCC